This 520-nucleotide ribosomal RNA is filed under the name uncultured Glomus. Its description in RNAcentral is "SSU rRNA". It matches the Rfam family "Eukaryotic small subunit ribosomal RNA", at positions 569 to 1090 of the family's 1831-position model. The record is from RNAcentral. Lineage: Eukaryota; Fungi; Glomeromycota; Glomeromycetes; Glomerales; Glomeraceae.
AGCAGCCGCGGUAAUUCCAGCUCCAAUAGCGUAUAUUAAAGUUGUUGCAGUUAAAAAGCUCGUAGUUGAAUUUCGGGGUUAGUAGGUUGGUCAUGCCUCUGGUAUGUACUGGUCUCACUGAUUCCUCCUUCCUGAUGAACCUUAAUGCCAUUUAUUUGGUGUUUUGGGGAAUUUGGACUGUUACUUUGAAAAAAUUAGAGUGUUUAAAGCAAGCUAACGCUUGAAUACAUCAGCAUGGAAUAAUGAAAUAGGACGUUCGAUCCUAUUUUGUUGGUUUCUAGGAUUGACGUAAUGAUUAAUAGGGAUAGUUGGGGGCAUUAGUAUUCAAUUGUCAGAGGUGAAAUUCUUGGAUUUAUUGAAGACUAACUACUGCGAAAGCAUUUGCCAAGGAUGUUUUCAUUAAUCAAGAACGAAAGUUAGGGGAUCGAAGACGAUCAGAUACCGUCGUAGUCUUAACCAUAAACUAUGCCGACUAGGGAUCGGAUGAUGUUAAUUUUUUAAUGACUCAUUCGGCGCCUUA